UACUGGUCAAUGGGCGGGAGCCUGAACCAGCCAAGUCGUGUGAGGGAUUAAGGUCCUACGGGUCGUAAACCUCUUUUGCUGGGGAGCANNGCGGUGGACGUGUCCGCCGUUUGAGAGUACCCGGAGAUAAAGCAUCGGCUAACUCCGUGCCAGCAGCCGCGGUAAUACGGAGGAUGCGAGCGUUAUCCGGAUUUAUUGGGUUUAAAGGGUGCGUAGGCGGGCUUUUAAGUCAGCGGUAAAAAUUCGGGGCUCAACCCCGUCCGGCCGUUGAAACUGGGGGCCUUGAGUGGGCGAGAAGAAGGCGGAAUGCGUGGUGUAGCGGUGAAAUGCAUAGAUAUCACGCAGAACCCCGAUUGCGAAGGCAGCCUUCCGGCGCCCUACUGACGCUGAGGCACGAAAGUGCAGGGGAUCGAACAG
RNAcentral lists this ribosomal RNA (417 nucleotides) under uncultured bacterium. Its description in RNAcentral is "bacterial SSU rRNA". It matches the Rfam family "Bacterial small subunit ribosomal RNA", at positions 362 to 775 of the family's 1533-position model. The record is from RNAcentral.